RNAcentral lists this long non-coding RNA (219 nucleotides) under Elaeis guineensis (African oil palm). RNAcentral describes it as "long non-coding RNA (EGUI_LNC079579)". The record is from RNAcentral. Lineage: Eukaryota; Viridiplantae; Streptophyta; Magnoliopsida; Arecales; Arecaceae.
ACCCUUGCAUAAAUUAUACUCUCCAUACUUAUCUUGCUCUUGUUAAAUAAUCUUCAUAGUUGUAAAUUAAGUUUAAAUUUUUUAAAACCCAAUUCACCCCCCCUCUUGGGUUGCAUAGCUGGGCAACAAGGAAAGAAAACAAAGGUCCAAAAUAGGUCCAAAAUAAUUUAUUUGUUUAAAGAGCUAAGCAAGUAAUACUUAAAAUCCUAUGCUCCUCAC